AAACGUACGCUGGGCGGCCACGGCCUAACACAAUGCCAAGUCGAACGAAGGUAGCAAUACUUUAGUGGGCAGACGGGGUGAGGUAACAUGUAAGGUAUCUUGCCCUUUUGGGCCUGGGAAUUAACACCGAAGGAAAACUUGUGCUAAUACCGGGAUAAAGUCUUUACGGAGAAAGCUUUUAUGCACCAUUGGAGGAGCCUGCACUAGAUUAGUUUGUUGGUGGGGUAAUGGCCUACCAAGACUGUGAUCUAUAGCUGAUUUGAGAGGAUGAUCAGCCACAUUGGGACUGAGACACGGCCCAAACUCCUACGGGAGGCAGCAGUGGGGAAUCUUGCACAAUGGAGGAAACUCUGAUGCAGCGAUGCCGCGUGAGUGAAGAAGGCCUUUGGGUUGUAAAGCUCUUUCGUCGGGGAAGAAAAUGACUGUACCCGAAUAAGAAGGUCCGGCUAACUUCGUGCCAGCAGCCGCGGUAAUACGAAGGGACCUAGCGUAGUUCGGAUUUACUGGGCUUAAAGAGUUCGUAGGUGGUUGAAAAAGUUGGUGGUGAAAUCCCAGAGCUUAACUCUGGAACUGCCAUCAAAACUUUUCAGCUAGAGUAUGAUAGAGGAAAGCAGAAUUUCUAGUGUAGAGGUGAAAUUCGUAGAUAUUAGAAAGAAUACCAAUUGCGAAGGCAGCUUUCUGGAUCAUACUGACACUGAG
This 699-nucleotide ribosomal RNA is filed under the name bacterium IMCC11761. RNAcentral describes it as "bacterial SSU rRNA". It matches the Rfam family "Bacterial small subunit ribosomal RNA", at positions 26 to 750 of the family's 1533-position model. The record is from RNAcentral.